GAAGUGCUAAUACCGCAUACGUCCUGAGGGAGAAAGCGGGGGAUCUUCGGACCUCGCGCGAUUGGAGUGGCCGAUGUCAGAUUAGCUAGUUGGNGGGGUAAAGGCCUACCAAGGCGACGAUCUGUAGCUGGUCUGAGAGGACGACCAGCCACACUGGGACUGAGACACGGCCCAGACUCCUACGGGAGGCAGCAGUGGGGAAUUUUGGACAAUGGGGGCAACCCUGAUCCAGCCAUUCCGCGUGAGUGAAGAAGGCCUUCGGGUUGUAAAGCUCUUUCGGCAGGAACGAAACGGCGCGCUCUAACAUAGCGCGUUAAUGACNGUACCUGAAGAAGAAGCACCGGCUAACUACGUGCCAGCCGCCGCGGUAAUACGUAGGGNGCCGAGCGUUAAUCNGAAUUACNGGGCCGUAAAGCGUGC
Molecule: ribosomal RNA, 420 nt
Filed under: Rhodocyclaceae bacterium enrichment culture clone MLSB20m2F
Lineage: Bacteria; Pseudomonadati; Pseudomonadota; Betaproteobacteria; Rhodocyclales; Rhodocyclaceae
Description: bacterial SSU rRNA
Rfam family: Bacterial small subunit ribosomal RNA
Source: RNAcentral